UAGGGAAUCUUCGGCAAUGGACGGAAGUCUGACCGAGCAACGCCGCGUGAGUGAAGAAGGUUUUCGGAUCGUAAAGCUCUGUUGUUAGAGAAGAACGUUGGUAGGAGUGGAAAAUCUACCAAGUGACGGUAACUAACCAGAAAGGGACGGCUAACUACGUGCCAGCAGCCGCGGUAAUACGUAGGUCCCGAGCGUUGUCCGGAAUUAUUGGGCGUAAAGCGAGCGCAGGCGGUUCAUUAAGUCUGAAGUUAAAGGCAGUGGUGUAACCAUUGUACUGUUUGGUCACUGGAGGACUUGAGUGGAGAAGAGGAGAGGGGAAUUGAAUGUGUAGGGGUGAAAUGCGUAAAUAUAUGGAGGAACACAGGUGGCGGAGGCGGCUCACUAGUCUGUAACAGACACAGAGGCUAGAAAGGGUGGGGAGCAAACAGG
This 429-nucleotide ribosomal RNA is filed under the name Bacillota bacterium. RNAcentral's name for it is "Firmicutes bacterium partial 16S ribosomal RNA". It matches the Rfam family "Bacterial small subunit ribosomal RNA", at positions 355 to 776 of the family's 1533-position model. The record is from RNAcentral. Lineage: Bacteria; Bacillati; Bacillota.